This 253-nucleotide ribosomal RNA is filed under the name uncultured bacterium. RNAcentral describes it as "partial 16S ribosomal RNA". It matches the Rfam family "Bacterial small subunit ribosomal RNA", at positions 524 to 776 of the family's 1533-position model. The record is from RNAcentral.
UACGGUGGGUGCAAGCGUUGUUCGGAAUUACUGGGCGUAAAGCGGGUGUAGGCGGCCGCACAAGUCAGAUGUGAAAUCCCUGGGCCCAACCCAGGAACUGCAUUUGAUACUGCGUGGCUCGAGUCCCGGAGAGGAUGGCGGAAUUCCAGGUGUAGAGGUGAAAUUCGUAGAUAUCUGGAGGAACACCAGCGGCGAAGGCGGCCAUCUGGACGGUGACUGACGCUCAGACCCGAAAGCGUGGGGAGCAAACAGG